AUGGUGCUGGUCACCAGGCUCACCCUCAGAAGGAAUCAGAACUCCAGGAUCUCAAAAAUAAAUGAAAACGACAAGAAAGGAGCAAAUGGGAACCAAGUUCACCCCCUUACCCCCCGUUCACCCUCCGUGACAUGCGUGCCACACGCCCACAGCCAGACCCUCCCGGACGCACCUUCGGCCUCUCUCUUCCCUCACUCAGACAUCAGACUCAAUACUAGACAGUUUCUCAUACACAUGCCCAUUGCUGGAGCCAUUGAAAGCCCUGGGGUUUUUGUUGUUAGGCACACAGGGGUUGGACUGGUUCCCUAUACAGAUGUCUUUCUGGAAGCGGCCCGGCACAGCCCCGUGCAGGGCCGAGACCACCGGCUUGUUGCUCACAAGGGCCCGGAAGUCCGGCCUGGCCUUUGGUGCCCCAGCCACCGUGGGCUGCCUGAAGAAGUAGGAUUUGCUGCCGUGGAGCAAGCACUGGUCGUCCCCGAAAGUGGGGAUGAAAGGGUUCUGCGUGACCCGGUCGGGGUAGAGAGACUUGCUGAGCAUGUAGCCACCGCCGCCGCCGGGAUUGCCGUGGUGGUGAUGUCCCGUGGCUGGCGCCGCCGCCUUUCCAUCGUUGCUGCCACUAAAAGCGCUCUCGCCUGCCGGCAUCUCGAACAUGUGCGCGUAGGGGCUGCCGUCCAGGAAGCGGCCCUUGUCCUUGAGGCUCACGCUGCGCGGGGCCAGGGCGGCCUCUUCUUUCUGCAGGUCCACGAACGUGUCGUAGGAGUGUUGGCGCCGCAGCUUGUUCCGGGGCUUCUUCUGCGCCUUGGAGUUGGUGGGGCUCUGCGGGUACUUAGACGCUGCGGACGUCACGGCCGCCACUGGGGCGGCCGGCUGAUCCAACUCCUGCAGCGAGUUGUCCUCGCUGAUGUCGUACAGGUUGCCGGCCUUCUUGCACGCCUCGCAGCGGAUGCAGGCCGGCCUGCCCGAGUUCUGGCCAGCCACCACCGCCGUUGCUGCUGUCGUCGUCGAGUAGUUGUGCAGCUUGGAUGGGCAGCUGCGGCAGAAGUUGCCCCCAGGGCGCUCCUCCCAGUCCACGUUGGUCAGGUUCUUCUCCCAGGGGGCCGGGACCCCGCCGACGACCCCCCCGCCGUGCUUGUCGCCCGUGCCGUGCUUAAGAUGAUGAGCUCGGUUGGUACA
Molecule: long non-coding RNA, 1173 nt
Filed under: Capra hircus (goat)
Lineage: Eukaryota; Metazoa; Chordata; Mammalia; Artiodactyla; Bovidae
Description: lncRNA (ENSCHIG00010001735.1)
Source: RNAcentral